GAUGAACGCUGGCGGCGUGCCUAAUACAUGCAAGUCGAGCGAACGGACGAGAAGCGUGCUCUUCUGAUGUUAGCGGCUGACGGGCGAGUAACACGUGGAUAACCUACCUAUAAGACUGGGAUGACUACGGGAAAACGGAGCUACUACUGGAUCAUAUUUUCAACCGCAGGGAUCAAAAGUGAAUGAGGGUCUUGCUGUCACUUAGAGAUGGAUCCGCGCUGCAUUAGCUAGUUGGUAAGGUAACGGCUUACCAAGGCUACGAUGCGUAGCCGACCUGAGAGGAUGAUCGGCCACACUGGAACUGAGACACGGUCCAGACUCCUACGGGAGGCAGCAGUAGGGAAUCUUCCGCAAUGGGCGAAAGCCUGACGGAGCAAUGCCGCGUGAGUGAUGAAGGUCUUCGGGUCGUAAAGCUCUUUUAUUGGGGAAGAACAGAUGUGUGAUAAUCUGUGCAUAUCUUGACGGUACCUAAUCAGAAAGCCCCGGCUAACUACGUG
Molecule: ribosomal RNA, 497 nt
Filed under: uncultured bacterium
Lineage: Bacteria
Description: partial 16S ribosomal RNA
Rfam family: Bacterial small subunit ribosomal RNA
Source: RNAcentral